Molecule: long non-coding RNA, 977 nt
Organism: Setaria italica (foxtail millet)
Lineage: Eukaryota; Viridiplantae; Streptophyta; Magnoliopsida; Poales; Poaceae
Exons: 2
Source: RefSeq, a predicted model, not a curated record
UUAUGCAAAAUAUUGGAUCGCCGGUUAAUAUGCUCAUCGGCCAGAGACAUGGCUGCCGGCUGCGGGCCGCGACAGCCGCCAUCCCCGCCGUCACGUAUCCCACGCCACCUUCCUUCAGAGAACGCGCCCGUCCACGGCGCCGUUGCCGGCACCAUAGUCCUCCCACGCGCGCCGCUGUCUCGUAGGCUCCGAGCCGCCGCUUUUCGAGUUUCAACUAGAGCCACCACCCUCUCUCGCCUUGAUGAUGCCACCAUGGACGAGAAUUAGAAAGCAAUGGGGAGGCGACCUGCGCGUGCCCAUCACCAUGGCGGCAAGGUCUUCUGAUCUCGCUGAAAACAGAGUUUCUCGACGAGCGCUUCGCCACUGGUCUCGCGGGCCGCCGCCCGCCGGACUGCCGGAGGAGUUGGGCGAGCUGACGAGGAUGGCCGGCGCCGAGGACGUCAGGCGUCAGCCAAGAUGCCGGCAGAACAGAAUCACCCUCCCUAGCACGCCGCAAGGGGCACCAACGUACACACGCAGGGUCUGAGAAGAAGGGUCUUCACUCUUCACCUUCAACCCGGCAAUCUGUAUGUUAUACUGUUAUAUGGCAUGACGCAGCUUCUGUAUUCACUCCCAAAGCUCAGGGACAUGAGCUUCAGAUCAGCUCAUCCCUUCAGCUACUUCGUGCGGCUGUCCAGGCCUGUCAGUCGCAGAAACUUGCAUGCAAUACAUUUUGCUACAACUAGUAUUCUUGUUAGUAUGGCUGUAUGCCUGUAUUGGUCAAUAACGUCAGAUGUAGUUGCAGCAGAGCCAUUGCAGAUUCAUAUAGUUUGCAAUUACUGUAUUGAAAUGGAAAUUAGGCCUUUGUAGCAAGGCCCAGUAUUUGACAGAACAACAUGGUGAUUAGGAUUGGGGCCAACUUGGAACAAUAUAUCUGUAUGUGCCACAUAUACAUAAUGUAUCAGCGUCUGAUGUAUAAAACUGAAUGUUAUGUUUCA